UAACCUGGUUGAUCCUGCCAGUAGUCAUACGCUCGUCUCAAAGAUUAAGCCAUGCAUGUGUUAGUAUAAACGAUUUUAUACAGUAAAACUGCGAACGGCUCAUUAUAUCAGUUAUAGUUUAUUUGAUAAUCUUUCACUAUUGGAUAACCGUAGUAAUUCUAGAGCUAAUACAUGCUUACAGUCCCAACUCACGGCGGGACGUAUUUAUUAGAUUUCAAUCAACAUUUUUUGCUGACUCAUGAUAACUAAGCGGAUCGCAGAGGCCUUGUGCCGGCGACAAAUCAUUCAAGUUUCUGCCCUAUCAGCUUUCGAUGGUAGUGUAUUGGACUACCAUGGCAUUAACGGGUAACGGAGGAUUAGGGUUCGAUUCCGGAGAGGGCGCCUGAGAAAUGGCGACCACAUCCAAGGAAGGCAGCAGGCGCGUAAAUUACCCAAUCCUAAUUCAGGGAGGUAGUGACAAUAAAUAUCGAUGCGGGGCCCUACGGGUCUUGCAAUCGGAAUGAGAACAAUUUAAAUCCCUUAACGAGGAUCAAUUGGAGGGCAAGUCUGGUGCCAGCAGCCGCGGUAAUUCCAGCUCCAAUAGCGUAUAUUAAUGUUGUUGCAGUUAAAAAGCUCGUAGUUGGAUUUCUGCGCCGCGCAGCUCGGUCCGCCGCACUGCGGUGUGACUGGGUUGGAGCGUCGCAUCCUUGUGGAGACUGUUUCUGGCAUUAACUUGUCUUGAUUCAGGAACCGCAUCGUUUACUGUGAAAAAAUUAGAGUGUUCAAAGCAGGCUUAUGCCGUGAAUAUGUUAGCAUGGAAUAAUAAGAUAGGACCUUGGUACUAUUUUGUUGGUUGGAGGCCAAGGUAAUGAUUAAUAGGGAAUAGUUGGGGGUAUUCAUAUUUAAUUGUCAGAGGUGAAAAUUCUUGGAUUUAUGAAAGAUGAACUUAUGCGAGAGCAUUUACCAAGGAUGUUUUCAUUAAUCAAGAACGAAAGUUAGGGGAUCGAAGGAGGAUUAGAUACCCUUCGUAGUCUUAACCAUAAACUAUGCCGACUCGGGAUUGGGAGGUGUACAUUAAAAAGACCCUCUCAGUACCUUAUGAGAAAUCAAAGUCUUUGGGUUCCGGGGGGAGUAUGGUCGCAAGGCUGAAACUUAAAGGAAUUGACGGAAGGGCACCACCAGGAGUGGAGCUUGCGGCUUAAUUUGACUCAACACGGGGAAACUUUCCAGGUCAGGACACAGUUAGGAUUGACAGAUUGAGAGCUCUUUCUUGAUUCUGUGGUUGGUGGUGCAUGGCCGUUCUUAGUUGGUGGGGUGACUUGUCUGGUUAAUUCCGUUAACGAACGAGAUCUCCGCCUGCUAAAUAGUCACGUGAAUCCGUUUGGAUUGACGGGCGACUUCUUAGAGGGACACUUGGCGUUUAGUCAAGGGAAGUUGGAGGCAAUAACAGGUCUGUGAUGCCCUUAGAUGUUCUGGGCCGCACGCGCGCUACACUGAUUCAUUCACUAAGUCUAUAACCUUGGUAGAAAUGCUUGGGUAAUCUUUGAACCUGAAUCGUGCUGGGGAUUGGAGCUUGUAAUUAUUCUCCAUGAACGAGGAAUUCCUAGUAAACGCGAGUCAUCAGCUCGCAUUGAUUACGUCCCUGCCCUUUGUACACACCGCCCGUCGCACCUACCGAUUGAAUGGUCCGGUGAAAUCUUCGGACCGGGCGAUGAUCAGCAGUGCCCGACGCUUGGAAAGUCGCUUAAACCUUACCAUUUAGAGGAAGGUGAAGUCGUAACAAGGUUUCCGUAGGUGAAC
This 1779-nucleotide ribosomal RNA is filed under the name uncultured eukaryote. Its description in RNAcentral is "partial small subunit ribosomal RNA". It matches the Rfam family "Eukaryotic small subunit ribosomal RNA". The record is from RNAcentral.